This 570-nucleotide ribosomal RNA is filed under the name Xeromphalina junipericola. RNAcentral's name for it is "eukaryotic LSU rRNA". It matches the Rfam family "Eukaryotic large subunit ribosomal RNA", at positions 81 to 630 of the family's 3401-position model. The record is from RNAcentral. Lineage: Eukaryota; Fungi; Basidiomycota; Agaricomycetes; Agaricales; Mycenaceae.
UAGUAACUGCGAGUGAAGCGGGAAAAGCUCAAAUUUAAAAUCUGGCGGUCUCCGGCCGUCCGAGUUGUAAUUUAGAGAAGUGUUACCCGUGCUGGACCGUGUACAAGUCUCCUGGAAUGGAGCGUCAUAGAGGGUGAGAAUCCNNUCUUUGACACGGACCCCCCAGUGCUUUGUGGUGCGCUCUCGAAGAGUCGAGUUGUUUGGGAAUGCAGCUCAAAAUGGGUGGUAAAUUCCAUCUAAAGCUAAAUAUUGGCGAGAGACCGAUAGCGAACAAGUACCGUGAGGGAAAGAUGAAAAGAACUUUGGAAAGAGAGUUAAACAGUACGUGAAAUUGUUGAAAGGGAAACGCUUGAAGUCAGUCGCGUUGGCCGGGGAUCAACCUUGCAUUCGUGCUUGGCGUACUUCCCGGUCCGACGGGUCAGCAUCAAUUUUGACCGCUGGAUAAAGGUCAGGGGAAUGUGGCAUCUUCGGAUGUGUUAUAGCCUCUGGUCGCAUACAGCGGUUGGGAUUGAGGAACUCAGCACGCCGCAAGGCCGGGUUUUUAACCACGUACGUGCUUAGGAUGCUGGC